Molecule: ribosomal RNA, 301 nt
Filed under: uncultured bacterium
Lineage: Bacteria
Description: partial 16S ribosomal RNA
Rfam family: Bacterial small subunit ribosomal RNA
Source: RNAcentral
CAGUCGCCGCGGUGAUACGAAGGGUGCAAGCGUUACUCGGAAUUACUGGGCGUAAAGCGCACGUAGGCGGCUUGGUAAGUUAGAGGUGAAAGCCUGGAGCUCAACUCCAGAAUUGCCUUUAAGACUGCCGAGCUAGCAGGUGAGAGAGGUAAGUGGAAUUCCGAGUGUAGAGGUGAAAUUCGUAGAUAUUCGGAAGAACACCAGUGGCGAAGGCGGCUUACUGGCUCAUACUGGACGCUGAGGUGCGAAAGCGUGGGGAGCAAACAGGAUUAGAUACCCCAGUAGUCCCUGUCUCUUAUAC